Physeter macrocephalus (sperm whale) is the source of this 1584-nucleotide long non-coding RNA. RefSeq lists it as uncharacterized. The transcript has 6 exons. The record is from RefSeq and is a predicted model, not a curated record. NCBI's taxonomy places the organism in Eukaryota, Metazoa, Chordata, Mammalia, Artiodactyla, Physeteridae.
GCAUCAGCAGGGCCAGGAAGAGGAUCAUUAACAGGAAGGUGGAACACUCACAGGAACAGAAUCUUGGACUUCCCAGGAAGGCAUUAUUAGCCUCCUUUCCUGCAGACAUUGUGGUGCAUCUUGGGAAGAGAAACUCAAAUUAGCUACCAAAAGUGAAUCUGGAGGCUUCCUGUUAACGAGCCUUUGCACAAAGGAAUCUGACUGUCACAACAUGGCGCAGAACACUGAGUACAUCACGCCCGGCUCUGUCCUCCAAUGCUGGUUGGUGUCACAAGGAAGUCCCAACAGUUAUUGGAAAUGACUUGGUGAGGAGAAUCUUUCUGUAGACUCUGCUGUUUUUUCCAUGCACCCUUUAUGGCCUUUGGUUGAGUGGGGCCUGAGCUUAACCCACAGACCCAUUAGGGGCAGUCGUAAAGCAAAUUACAAUAACUAUGUCAACCAUGAAACAGACGAAAACACCCCCAAAUGAUGCCCCUUUCCCUUCCUCACUCAGGAAGGCUCAGUGAGCAAGCCCCGGGAACAAGAACCUACUGAGAGAAGAUGAAGGACUGACUAGGAGCCACUCUGACAGGCCUGGGAAGGGAAGGAAGGAGAUACAAUAGCCACUGAGCAAACCAACCAAUCUUCUCCGAAAAUAUCAACUCCAAGUUUAACUUGGAUUUGUCAGUCAGUUUCCUUGUCAGUUCCUUCUUCCCUUUUUUUUAGUAACACAUUGGAAGAGAAUGAAAGUAGGGUCUCUACUUUUCAAAGCAAAGUAAACCAAGCACCAAAAAAGAUGUUAUUUAGGAUAUGUCUAUUACAAACUUGGCUCUACCAAACCGAUCCAGUCUUUUCAAGAUCCUGAUUUAAAAUCUCUUAGGUCCUUCUCCUGAUAUGGUAGCUGACAUUAACCUCCAAGACUUGGCUAGGGAUAUCAAAGGUCAUUUCUUUUGCAGGGAUCGGCAUGUAUCUGGGUGUUUAUUUCUCUGCUAACUAGAGGUUCCUUUGCAGAUAUUGGACUGCUGUCUCUGAUGAUGUUCCAGUGCCCCCUGAGGGCUUCUAAGUAUAAUAAAAGUAAACGAAAAAGCGGCUUCAUAUGAAAUAAUUCACUAUGCAGGAACAAAGCUGACUAUGGGACUCAAAGGAUCUCUGAAGUAAAGAUUAACUGCCAGUCAUCAGGAAACCUAAAAUCAUUUGAAAUAAGAGGUGCCACAAGCCAAAAGAUAGAAGCCAUAAACACAUACAAUAUUAAUAAAGCAAUUACAGAAAUAUUAUACUGAGGGGAAACUAUAUCUCAUGAUGGAAGAAAUAUAGGAAUCACCCCCGUUGAAUCCGUGAGGGAGAUGAAGCUGCAGUUCUGUGCUCCCAGACCCGCCCAGCAGAUGGCACCUUCCCCAUGGAGACCUAAGUUUUCACACUAUCUGGCUGAAAUCCUCCUUCAACUUCUUAUCGGGCUGCAGACCGUCUCUUCCCGAAGAGCCCACCAGAUCAUCAAAUUCAGCAUGUUCCAGAUGGAACGGAGGAUCUGCUGCCAGGGUAUUUGCCUUGUGGCCAGGAUUGGUGUCAUACGUUGGAUAUCUCCGAAAUAACCAAUACAUGGCUUCU